This 74-nucleotide transfer RNA is filed under the name Marivivens sp. JLT3646. It matches the Rfam family "tRNA". From Rfam's summary of the family: Transfer RNA (tRNA) molecules are approximately 80 nucleotides in length. Their secondary structure includes four short double-helical elements and three loops (D, anti-codon, and T loops). The record is from Rfam by way of RNAcentral. Lineage: Bacteria; Pseudomonadati; Pseudomonadota; Alphaproteobacteria; Rhodobacterales; Paracoccaceae.
GGCGGUGUAGCUCAGUUGGUUAGAGCAGAGGAAUCAUAAUCCUUGUGUCCGGGGUUCGAGUCCCUGCACCGCCA